This 253-nucleotide ribosomal RNA is filed under the name uncultured Blastopirellula sp. RNAcentral describes it as "partial 16S ribosomal RNA". It matches the Rfam family "Bacterial small subunit ribosomal RNA", at positions 524 to 776 of the family's 1533-position model. Lineage: Bacteria; Pseudomonadati; Planctomycetota; Planctomycetia; Pirellulales; Pirellulaceae. The record is from RNAcentral.
CACGAACCGGACGAACGUUAUUCGGAAUCACUGGGCUUAAAGGGUGCGUAGGCGGCCUGACAAGUUGGGUGUGAAAUCCCUCGGCUUAACCGAGGAAUUGCGCUCAAAACUGUUGGGCUUGAGGGAGUUAGAGGUGAGCGGAACUUAGGGUGGAGCGGUGAAAUGCGUUGAUAUCCUAAGGAACACCAGUGGCGAAAGCGGCUCACUGGAGCUUUUCUGACGCUGAGGCACGAAAGCUAGGGGAGCGAACGGG